UGUGUGUGUCUUCGUGUGCUCGAGGACCCCUUGCUAUUUCUGGCGUCUGACUUCUUAGCAGCAGCCAGUUCCUGCUCUGUCUUCUCCUCUGGGGCCUCCCGUCCCCUGCUUAGCAUCUCCUCUGUGUCCUGCAGACUCUGACGGCCUCCGGGGAUCAGGGCAUCCUUGCCCGCAACGCACUGCAGCCCCAGCUUUCCAGACACCAGUGUGGUUUCCACGCUCUUCCACCUCCACUGCUCCACUAGGCCAGGAAUUUUCAAACCAAAUAAUUCCAAAGACUUUAAACACUCCUUUCUUUCCCUUCUCUCUCUCCCUUUACAGUUUGUGUUAAGUAUAAAGCAGAGCCCAGGUGGCAAUUCAGCACCGACCUGGUCUCUUCAGCUGCAUCACAGGUCCAUUAGACACAUUUCCCACAUCGCAAAGGUCACCCAUCUUCAGCCUCUCAAAGUUCCUCUGAUUCCCUGAUGGCUUCCUCCAAGGCCACUGGGUGGCCACAGCCAGCCUUCUCUGACCUGUUCGGAAUCCCCCGUGCUGCCCUUGAGUAGCACUUCUCCUUUCUCCUGCUGCCUGGCUCCACAUUUCUUGAGUGUUUUCAGGUUUUAUUUGGGCAGUGGCAAUCAUCCAGACCUCACUGCUGCAGCCCCUUCGUGUCCUACACAGUCAGAAGCAUUUUCAGUCACAGGUCCUGUGAGCAUGCAUUUUCUGUGGCUGCUGUGACACAAACGUGGUGGCAUAAGGCCACUCAGAAGGUGACCUUGCUCUGUGCUCAGGAGCCUGAUGGCCCCUGGGCUGUGCUCAGUACUGAGCUGCAUUCCUUCUUGGGCUCCAGGGCCAUGUCCUGGGCAGUUCUCUGCCACUGUCCCUGGACCUGUCCUCAUCCUCAAGCCCCAAGCCCUCAUGUGCACCCUGCUCCUGGCCCAGGUAAGAAUCUUUGGAAUCGCUCGGGCCACCUGGCUGUCCAGGGUCCUCAGCAGACCAGCAGUCUGAGUCUCAGCUCUGGGAUAACAACUGGGACGUGUUGGAGAGGAGCCACCAGUGCCCACCACCGUAGGGCACCAGGGGUGAGCAGGGCCUGCUCCUGCAGGACACACUGCCCGGAUGCUGCCUGCCCAGUGCCCCGGGGACAAGGCCAUGGGCCCCGCUCUGCCCUGUGGGCUCAGGCUAGGCUGACCAGUCCCACAGCUCCCCAGCAAGGGUCCUGUCCAGGGUACCCUGGCUUGGGGAGCCCCUGCGGGCCAGUCAGAGAAGACUUGACCUGUCCCUGCCCCACUGCCUGCGUGUGGCUCUCUCUGCCUCUCCUGCCGCCUGCCACCCUUCCUGUCCUGUGGAUGGCAGCUGCUCCCUCUGUCCGCGGCUCAGCUUGCCUUUCCCCGAGCCAAGCGCAGGGGAACAGGGCUGCACCGGACUUAGCUUGAUUUCCUAACGCCCAGGACCAUGUGGCCAAGUUGAGUUGAACAAGGACAGAGUUUGAAGACCAGAACUUGGAGGCAAGCCCUGCUCUUCCAAGGGCAGCUCCAGGACCAGCCGGGGAGUCUGGAAGUUUGUGCUGCAUCUGCACGGACACCUUUAAACAGGAAUACAGUGGCACGGGGAUGCUUCCUCAGCAGACUCCAUCAGCCACAGGAUUGCCCAGGCUUUCCAAUCCACCUUCCUCAGCCUCCCAGAGUGUUGGGAUUCCUUGUCAAUGUGCCUGGCCUCCACAAAACGUGUGUACGAGUGACACUGUCACGGGAGCAGUGCAGACGAGCACACCACGCAGAGGCAUAGAGAGGAGGCCACAGUCUGGUGGGACAGGAAGCCAACCACACAGCCCCAGCCUGGAAAUGAUGCCACCCAAAGUCUGUAGGGAACAGUGAGGAGAGCUGCUCUGACAUGACGCUGUGGCCCUGGGGGAGGCAGCAUCUUAGCUUGGUUUGGAGCGUGGAUCUGAGUCCGGGUAGAGGUUGGGGAAUAUUCCAGAGAGCAAAGAGAAAGCAGCUUGAAUCAAUCGCAGAGGAGGCAGCACAUGGGGGAAGCAGCAAGCUCUUCAGUUUUAGCUUGCAAGUCAUUUUGAGGAAGAGAAAUGUGAAAGAAUAUCUACAUGGAGGCAGGAAAAAAGUUACAGACAAAAGCCGAGUGCUUAUGCACCUGUAACUCCAGCUCUCAGGAGACUGAGGCAGGAGGAUUGCAAGUUCAGGCCAGAGUGGGCUACUCUGAGAUCCUGUUGCAAAACACAAAACAAGACAAAUCAACGUAAACAAAAACCAGAACAAGACAAAAGUUGAAGACAAGAUCACUUUGGAGGCUCAGUUUAAAGUGACUCUUGUUAAGAAAAUAAUGAAAGAAGAUGGUAUAAAGCAUUCUGCCAGGGUAAGGGUUGGGAACGGAAAUAAAGCUCUCACAUGGGCAGCACCUUGUAUUUGAAAUCGGUGUAAGGAUGAAGAAGACAAUGCUGAGCUGGCUCCCUGGCAGUUACUUACUUACUUUGCAGCCCUGGAGAUUGAACCCAGCGUGUUCACACUGAGCUCCAUCCCCAGCCUUUAAACUUUUUUAUUUUGAGGCAGAGUCUUGCUGAGUUGCCCAGGCUGGGCCUGAACGCUCGGUCCUUCUGCCUCGGCCUCCCAGAAUGCUGGGAUGACAAGCGUUCAGCACGUAUUCCACUUAUUUUUCAUUUUUAAAUGAUGCCCGUCACUGUUCUCAUAGUCACAUACAGCCUAGGUCUGCAACAGCAGGAGCUGAAAAGCGCUUGACCAUGCGACAGGUGGUGGGAGCGUCGGAGUGGGCAGAGCGGGCUGUGGGCGCUGGCCUCAGCCCGGCGUCUGAGCUCGGCCAGCAGCCGGAGAUGCUGUUCCCCGCGGUGCCCCUCCACGCAAGCCUCAGGCGCCCUGCACUCAGUGAGCGGCCACAGAAUACUGAGCGGAACAACGUGGCACAUUCUGAGCGCUCGGGGCACUUCAGUUUUAUCUGUGGAGAUUCACUUUCGGGGAAGCGCCCCGCGUCUCGAAGGCUGGCAGGAAGUGAGCCUGCAGCCGGGCUCUGACUCCCCGAGGGCGCAGGGAGGCCCAGCAGGCUCUGGGGACCCUUUGCCGCUUAGUGUCUUCCGCGCCUCUGCUCCCUGGCGUUGUGCAUCCUCCCACUCCAGCGCGGUGCCACUGCUCAGCUCCAGCCUCCCCUGGCCGGGCCACUCCGCGUCUCCUGGGGGCACAAGUGUCCUCCGCUCCAGCCUCCCCCAAGCCACCCCCUGUGUCCCCGCUGUGCUCCCGGCCGGCUGGCGGACACCUCCUGUUGGCCCAAGGGCGGGAAACAGGUUCCCCGUGUGCCGAGGCCCCGAGCCGGGACUCCUGAGCACCUGGAGCCUCCUCCUCCCUCUGGUCCGGCUCCCUCCUGAGGGGCGGCGGCGGGGUGUCUUAGGUAUUUCAGCUCCAAAGGCUUUGGUAGCUGGGGCUCUCCGGAGAGAGGAGAGCGCUGGAAAUGCAGACCCGGGAUCAAAACACCAGCAGUGACAGCCAGCCUGGGAGCGCGGAGGAAACCCAGCAAGUCUUCAGCGCAAAGCCCCACCUUGUUGCCCUGGGCGAAGACAGGAAAUCUGCGGUUGAAUGGAGGGCCGUGUGCCGUGGGGCUCCCGCCUUGGCCUCUUCCCUGAGCGGCUCGGGGGCAUGCGGCUUCAGGGCCCAGCACCCACCCGGCCCGGCCGGGCCCGGUGAGGCGCUCUGCCUCCUCUUCCCCAGCCGGCAAGCUCAGCCUAAAGAGCCAACGCCUGUCCGCCUGCAGUCCCAGGUGCUCUGGAAGCUGAUAGAAGGACUGCAUGCAGGUCUGAGAGAAACGUGGGCACUUAGUGAGCCCCGUGUGACACUGAAGACAAAACAAGGUUGACAUGUGCCCCCGUGUUCCGUACCCGGGACAUUAAAGGGGGUCUUAGGGAUCACAGAGGCUCUUAGUGCUUGGAUCUGAAAUGACCCCCGACGUCUUGAAUUUCGAGGUGCGGCAGGUCAGAGGGGUCGCGGCGCUGCCCUCCAGGCAUAGCCCAGCUGUCCCGCAGGCUGUGCAGACAGUGUCAGGCUGAGCAGGGAAGGGGGAGUGGACAUCGCCCCUGGGCUUCCCCUGCGUCCGUCCACCCAGCCCCACAUCGGAGACAACCAGCCUUCACCCCCUCGCAGGCGCAGGCACAGGCCCUGGGAGCAGCACCUGUGUCGGCUGCGCUUUCUCGGCUCCUUCUCUCAGCCCACCCAGUGCAGCGCUGUCAGCUUCCUCUGCCCCAGCUCGUGCCCCGCGGUGCCAGGGCAGCCGGGCCCGAUCCCCUCAUUGCCCGGCCCGUUCUGUGCGGGGCUCCCCGGGCCCUGCGUCCCCCGCCUGGGCCCCGGCCGGCCGCUGUGUCUCAGUCAGGGCGCAGACGGCACCAGAUGACGCAUCCCCAGCGUCAGCAAUCUUUGGUCCCCUCAGCACCUCGUCCUGGCAGACGACCGUCCUGGAACAGGAUCAGGUCAGAUUGUAUCUAGAGUCACCGCUGUGAAUCUGCUUCCUCGAGGCUGCGAGCCCAGGAAAGUGGGGAUCCUGCCCUCGCCUGUCCCCAGGGCCCCACAAGCCAUCUGUGUCACUGUCACUGAGCCCUGAAGGAGGGGCCACCGGGGCACUACCGCCAGGACCAGCCUGGGGAGGCGCGAGCAUGGGGCUCCCGGGCCACCUGGGUUCCCUCCGGAGGUGUCCAGGUCCAAGCCCCUCAGCAGCACCAUCAGACAUCCCCAUCUGAAAAGCUCUCAGCCCGGGAGAGAAGAAACUGACUUCUAGGAAUGCUGCUAAGAAGAGGAACAACACGCCCAGCCUCAAAAACAGGGGAAUGAAACAAAUACGGUCUUAGAAAGUUAUUAUUGUCUGCCGCGAUUUAGAUCCGGAGAGGUGGCCUGGGGAGAACCUGCUGUCCCGAGGAUGGGGUGACCAGAGACUUGGGGUGAGGAGGACAUGGGGGGGGGGUGCUGUGGGCCGGGAACUGGGCCCUGGGGCUCAGGGUGUGGCCUGGCAGCAUGGGUCUUCCCCAAGCAGACCCAGCUCUGGUGGGGCACUGGCCCACGUGCUGUCCUCCUGCUCCUGUAACAAGGCCUGACACCCGGCAGCCCAAAUGACAGAACUCACUGCCUCGUUCUGAUGGGUGGCGGCCCCAAGCCCCCGCUUCCUCCCAGGGAGGAGUCUGUGCUGGCCUCAGCUCUUCCAGGCAGCCUCGGGCCUGGGGACAAUUACUGCAGGCUCCGCACUGCCUGUGCGUCACACGGCCAGAGCUCCGACAGCAGUCAGGUGGGUGCGGCCCCACCCAGCUCCAGCAUGGCCUCAUCUUAAUGCAGGACCCCUGUGGCUCCCCGUUUCCAAGUUAGGCCACACCCCAGGUCGCUGCAGGUUAGGACUGCGGGACUUGUGGGCACAGCUGGUGAAGCGUGGCUCCCAUGUGUGCGUGGCUCACUGAGGCUCCAAGACAUCACCAGCCUAGUGACCCUGGCUGGGGUCUGUGCUGUGUCUCCCGCUCCACACUGAGAAGCUCUGUCCUCUCGUGGGAACGGCCGUGUUGGGUUUGGGGAGCCAUGCCCCAAAGACGGGGGGGAUGUGGACGGGUACUGUUUUUAAAACAGGGUCAGGAAAUAAAAAUGACUUGGAAGGGAGGAAACCAGGCUUCGAGGGGGUGCUGGUCUCUGGCGGGACUGUGGCCACCACGUCCAGGGCCUUCUGGCUCCCCUCUGUUGGCACGGGGAUCAAACCCAGGCCUCGAGUGUGCCAGGCCAAGUGCUUUCCGCAGGCUGCACCCCGGCACCCAGAUUUCUCCCAGUCCCCCACCCUGAGGGCCCCAGGAGUGGGAGAGCUGCAGACAGGAGGCAUUGCCAGAGCAGUGAGUGAUCCCGGGUCACGCACCAUGGGGGAAGGUGGCCUCUGCUCCCUGGAACACACAGCCACCUCCCAGAAUGGACUUCGAGGUGUCUUGUUGUAAAGCCUCGACCAUCGCUGCUGCAUUGCCCUGCAGCCUCCACAACACAGCCAGGCCUGUGCUGUCACCUGGAGCCGUCACCAUUGGCACCUGCACCUCACUGGCCACGUAGGUCGGGGGGCAGUGACUCCCCGGGGCGUCCAGCAGACGACAGAAGACUGCACAGUUGGAGCAGGAGGCACAGCCUGUCCCCAGGCCCUGCUCACAGAGGACACAGCAGAGGGGCCUUGGACCCUCCAAGGAGGGGCUGGGACAGGCGGCAUCCAGUGUCCAGAAGCUGAGAGAACAGGGCUGGGUGUGGGAAUGAGCCCUCGGGCGGCCAGAGGAGCAGCGGGGGUGCUGAGGAAGUGGUUCUGUUUUCACUCUGAGCUUGGCAUGGAGAGGGAGGAGGAGCAGGCCGCAGCUGCAGGACCCGGAGGACCAGCAGAGGUCUUCCUAAGGGGAGGCGUGCAGGCACAUCUGGAGCACAUCUGACCUCAGGCGCUCACUGUCCCCAGAUGCGUACCUGUCAGCUGCCAUUUGGCAGUGAGGGCUGUGUUCGUGGCACAGGCUGUCGGCUCUGCCUCGUCCUGGUGGAUGCACUGGCGUUGGGAAUCCAGGCAGGAUCGCGCAUCACCAGGCUGCUGCCCUGGAAGCCAGCGAGCACCCCAUCUCCUGCACCGAGGUCGGGCCACCCAGCCCCUCCGGCUCUCUCUGGAGUGGAGGCCACACCUGCAGCAGCCAGACCCUAAUCCUGAGCUCGGCUGUGGGGCAUCGAGGGAAACAGACCUGAGGCUUUGCAGUCUCUGGACAGACCUGGGGCAGCGCAACACCACACAGACCUCUGACCUCAAACAUGGCCCUGAACACAUGCACGCACUCACGUGCAUGCACACAAACGCACACGCUUGCUGUCACAAGCCUUUUCUGAGGUCUCAGACAGCACAGUGUGGAGCUUCUGCUCUCAUAAACAUUAAAAAUGGCAAGGCCUGAUGGAACCAUCUCAGCUUUCUCAGCUGAGAAGCAUCACCCUGCAAGUGUUUACAGAACUGUAAGAAAAACCCCAUGUUUAGAAAAGCCAUCUGCUUGGAGGAAGAGACAACGAGCCAGGAGUGGUGAGAAAAGGCAGGGCAGCCUGGGAGCAGUGGGCCAGGCCCCCAAAGCCCAGACAAGCACACACGGACCCUCAGCCCUCCCUGGCUGUCUUGCAAGCCUCCUGCUCUUCACAGAUGCCCUUUCCCCUUUGAUCUGCUACUUCUGAGGCCAGGAGAGGAGGCUUCUGCUGCUCUGCGCAUUUCGUCUCCCAGGGGCUGGUUCUGCUGGCGGGGGGGCAGAGGAGAGCAGGAGGUGAAGCCAGGUCCUCGGCCAGGUCCUCGAGCUGCAUCCCAAAGUCAGCAGUGUGUAGAUGAGCAGACUGCCUGCAGGGCUCAUUCCCACACCACUGCCCUCGCUGCUCUGGCAGGGCCUCUGCCCCACCCUGUGCCCAACUUCCUGCCCCAAACAGUGGGGCCCUGGGAAGCCAGCACCAGCAGGCCAGUGGCCUGCCCUGACCCAGCCCCACCACUGUCCUGGCCUCAUCCUGGCCUCUUGAUUCCUUGCUCUCCUCGACCCAGCACCAGGUCCAGGUGGUUGUGCAGUGUUGCACAGGGGAGUGAGGGUUGUAGAAGUUUCUCCCUUGCUCUCUGAACUCUUCCUUUUCAGGGCAGAAGCUUGGGCUCUGACCUCAGGACAGAGUCCCCCCCGUGUGGUUGAGGAGGCCACAAAGGAAGGAACAGACCUGGCCGCUGAGUCACAGCAGCAGGCUCGUACCUGGUGCUGUCCCGGCCCAGGGCUCGGGCUCUAAACGGCCCCGUCCCAGAAUGUGUGGACAGCUGACACCUGCAGAUAGGGCUCCCUGCCGGGCCCAUGGUCGUGGCCUUCCUGGUUGGCCCACGGCAGGUCCUGGAACGUGGGCGUCAGACCUCGCUGCUACUCACAGGCUGAGGUGAAUAAAGACCCCCAGGAGGCAGGGAAGCAUAAGCCUCCUUGGCUCAUGGGCACAGGGCAGGGGCUCUCAGAUUAGGACCCCUCUCCUGGGCCUCCGGACAGGACCUGGCAGCAUUUGGAGGUGCGGGAGUGGUCGUGGGCACUGUCCUCUCCUCUGCUCUCUGGUCCAGCACCCAUCUGUGUCAUCCUCUAGGUCUCCCAAUGAACUCACAGAUUUCUGAGGCACUGACACAACCUUGUCACUGGAUGGGGCCAGGGAGGUCCCCAAAGAGGAGAUGGCAGGGAGGCUGCAGCUGGAAGCCUCCCAUCAUAGGACAGGUCAGGUCUGUCGGGAUUGGGCAGAGGGCUCAGAAGGCUGGAUUCUGAAAGAGCAGGCUCGGGAAUGCCCUGGGCCCCAGAGGGAGAAGGCGUAUGUGGCCGGGUCGGGGUUCCUGUGGAUGUGGGAUCCCCAAGAGGGUGACCAGGAUGUGUAUACUGAUAUCUGGGGUCCCCUGCCAGGUGAGCUGGUUGAGUACAGCAUUUAUCCAACUGGUGGAUGAAAGUUGCUGUCCCUGCUGCAGUGGCUUCCUGAACACAGGGUGAUAGGAUUGAGUGCAGCACGUAGGGGCACUCAGCCUGGAGCCCAGGUUACAGGGCCUUGGUCUUCAGGCCUCAGGGAUUUUCCCUAGAAGAAAAGACAGCUUGAAUA
Heterocephalus glaber (naked mole-rat) is the source of this 8597-nucleotide non-coding RNA. The record is from RefSeq and is a predicted model, not a curated record. Lineage: Eukaryota; Metazoa; Chordata; Mammalia; Rodentia; Bathyergidae.